CUGGCCAUCUUACAUGGAGUGAGUCUGCCAAGAACAAGGCUAAGAAGCAAAUGAUGUCAUGAAAUGCAGAAAUAGAAUACUGACAAUAUUGUUUUUAAAACCUUGGAUUUUCAAUUAUAUGCCCAAUUCUAACCAUGAAGGGUGGGCCUUCAUGGGAGCCUGGUAUUAGUGUCCUUCCUCAGAGAGCCUAUCACAGUGAGGUGUGAACUCUGGCCUCAUAUUUAGAGAAAAGAGACACCUGGAAGAUCUCUCAUUAACAACUGAACCUCAACCUGGAAAUGACAUAGAUUAUAUCUGCUCACACAACUCACUGUUUAAACCCAGUCAUGGCCAACCAGAGAGGAAUCAGGGAGUAUAAGCCUACUGUGAAUCUGGGAGAAGAGCUGGAAAUAUUCUAUUUGGACUGUCUGAAGGCAUACACUGUGUUUGCAAUAUUUUCAUCUGGUGUCGCACCUGGUACGUCAUAAUUGUACAGUGAAUGUAUUUUGAUGGAUGGCAUCUUGUAAAAUACUGUGUAGCUGGCAGGCAAUGACUAAAUGCUACCUACUG
RNAcentral lists this long non-coding RNA (549 nucleotides) under Heterocephalus glaber (naked mole-rat). Its description in RNAcentral is "lncRNA (ENSHGLG00100030662.2)". The record is from RNAcentral. Lineage: Eukaryota; Metazoa; Chordata; Mammalia; Rodentia; Bathyergidae.